CCUUAGAGUUCGAUCCUGGCUCAGGAUGAACGCUAGCUACAGGCUUAACACAUGCAAGUCGAGGGGCAUCAUGAGGUAGCAAUACCUUGAUGGCGACCGGCGCACGGGUGAGUAACGCGUAUGCAACCUGGCUGAUACAGGGGGAUAGCCCAUGGAAACGUGGAUUAACACUCCAUAAUAUUAUUUGAAGGCAUCUUUUAAUAAUUAAAUCAUUCGAGGUAUCAGAUGGGCAUGCGUCCUAUUAGCUAGUUGGGGGGGUAACGGCCCACCAAGGCAAUGAUAGGUAGGGGCUCUGAGAGGAAGGUCCCCCACAUUGGAACUGAGACACGGUCCAAACUCCUACGGGAGGCAGCAGUGAGGAAUAUUGGUCAAUGGGCGCAGGCCUGAACCAGCCAAGUCGCGUGAGGGAAGACUGCCCUAUGGGUUGUAAACCUCUUUUAUAAGGGAAGAAUAAUGACUACGUGUAGUCAGAUGCCCGUACCUUAUGAAUAAGCAUCGGCUAACUCCGUGCCAGCAGCCGCGGUAAUACGGAGGAUGCGAGCGUUAUCCGGAUUUAUUGGGUUUAAAGGGUGCGUAGGCGGUAUUUUAAGUUAGUGGUAAAACGUCGGGGCUUCACCUUGAUUGGCCAUUAAAACUGGAGUACUAGAGUACAGACGAGGUAGGCGGAAUAAGUUAAGUAGCGGUGAAAUGCUUAGAUAUAACUUAGAACCCCGAUAGCGAAGGCAGCUUACCAGACUGUUACUGACGCUGAAGCACGAGAGCGUGGGUAGCGAACAGGAUUAGAUACCCUGGUAGUCCACGCCGUAAACGAUGCUCACUGGUUCUGUGCGAUAUACAGUACCGGGAUUAACCGAAAGUAUUAAGUGAGCCCCCUGGGGGAGUACGUCCGGCAACAAUGAAACUCAAAGGAAAUUGACGGGGGCCGGCACAAGCGGAGGAACAUGUGGUUAAAUUGGAUGAUACGCGAGGACCCUUACCCGGGUUUAAAUGUGAAAAUUCAGAUAUGGAAACAUAUUUCUCUUCGGAGCUUUUUUCAAGGUGCUGCAUGGUUGUCGUCAGCUCGUGCCGUGAGGUGUCGGGUUAAGUCCCAUAACGAGCGCAACCCUUACCGUUAGUUGCCAUCAUUAAGUUGGGCACUCUAUCGGGACUGCCACCGUAAGGUGAGAGGAAGGCGGGGAUGACGUCAAAUCAGCACGGCCCUUACACCCGGGGCUACACACGUGUUACAAUGGCCGGUACAGAGGGUCGCUACCUGGUGACAGGAUGCCAAUCUCAAAAUCCGGUCUUAGUUC
Molecule: ribosomal RNA, 1292 nt
Filed under: uncultured bacterium
Lineage: Bacteria
Description: bacterial SSU rRNA
Rfam family: Bacterial small subunit ribosomal RNA
Source: RNAcentral